UACAGAGGGUGCAAGCGUUGUUCGGAAUUAUUGGGCGUAAAGGGCGCGUAGGCGGCAAUUCAAGUCAUCUGUGAAAUCUCCGGGCUUAACUCGGAACGGUCAGAUGAUACUGCUUUGCUAGAGUGCGGAAGGGGCAAUCGGAAUUCUUGGUGUAGCGGUGAAAUGCGUAGAUAUCAAGAGGAACACCUGAGGUGAAGACGGGUUGCUGGGCCGACACUGACGCUGAGUGCGCGAAAGCCAGGGGAGCAAACGGG
RNAcentral lists this ribosomal RNA (254 nucleotides) under uncultured bacterium. RNAcentral describes it as "partial 16S ribosomal RNA". It matches the Rfam family "Bacterial small subunit ribosomal RNA", at positions 524 to 776 of the family's 1533-position model. The record is from RNAcentral.